AAAAACAUAACCUUUAGCUAAACAAAUAUUAAAGGCAACGCCUGCCCAGUGAACAAUUAAACGGCCGCGGUAUCCUAACCGUGCAAAGGUAGCAUAAUCAUUUGUCUACUAAUUAUAGACCUGUAUGAAAGGCAAAAUGAGGGUCCAACUGUCUCUUAUAAUAAAUCAAUUAAACUGAUCUCCUAGUAAAAAAGCUAGAAUAACAACAUAAGACCAGAAGACCCUGUGAAGCUUAAACUAAACUAUUAAACCAUAUAAUAAAUACUUUCGGUUGGGGCGACCUUGGAAAAAAAAAGAACUUCCAAGACCCAGCACAGCUGAUAAUUGAACCAAGUUACUCCAGGGAUAACAGCGCAAUCUUCUUCAAGAGCCCAUAUCAAAAAGAAGGUUUACGACCUCGAUGUUGGAUCAGGACAUCCUAAUGGUGCAGCCGCUAUUAAGGGUUCGUUUGUUCAACGAUUAACAGUCCUACGUGAUCUG
Molecule: ribosomal RNA, 480 nt
Filed under: Pantherophis guttatus
Lineage: Eukaryota; Metazoa; Chordata; Lepidosauria; Squamata; Colubridae
Description: partial 16S ribosomal RNA
Rfam family: Bacterial large subunit ribosomal RNA
Source: RNAcentral